AUAAAUCAUGUUUACCAAUUAUUACUAUCCAUAAUUGUACCUGGUCUUUUAAAGCUCCUUGUCGAUUCGGCACCUACCACCUCAUUACUGAGUCUAUUCCAUUCGUCUAUCACUGGAGGGCGCAAACAUAUCAGCUGCUAUACAAGACUGCCACACUUAGCUUUAAACCCUCGCUCUUGCCAUUAAUAUGGAUGCCGUGACGAGGUGCAGUAACGGAAGGGAGGAAGGAAGUGAGAAUGAGUAGCCCGUCACCUACUCUACUUUGUGACGAAGAUGGAAGAACACGACAAUGAAAGAAGCGGGAAUUAUAUAAACGCGAAAAAUAAAAUAAGCAACGGAAAUCGACGUCAUGUUGCAGCCAGCAAAAUCCACAUUUCGCAAAAUUAUUCAACGUGAGCUUAAACAGCGGAUUUCAUGUAUGCCACAAGCCUGGCCCACUUACGCCCUCUGUGCCAUGCGGUUCCUGAAGGCAGAGGUGUUCGGGGGCGAGUACCACCUGAGGGGAGGAGUGAGGAAAGGGAGAGAGGAGGUCAGCGUCAAGACUCUCGCUCCCUCUCCCUCCUUGACAGUCGGCGUCAUUCUCCCCGGGACUCACUCCUUCACCGUUAAUCUGAAGCGUAGGUAGUACAUUGCCCUGCCUCUUCCUCCUCCUCCUCCUCCUCCUCCUCGUCCUCCUCCCCCUACUACUUUCUAUUUCCUGAAGAGAAAUAACGACGAAUAACGAGAGAGCAGCACAAGACAACAGCAUGAAGUCAAAAGGAGGAAGACACAGCACAGUUGCCUAUAACUCGUACAUACAUCACUGUUAUAGUUAUUGACCACUAAAACCGACUCCUAGCAUGAUUAGUUAGUUAGUUAGCCAGUCCUGAUUA
Molecule: long non-coding RNA, 872 nt
Organism: Scylla paramamosain (green mud crab)
Lineage: Eukaryota; Metazoa; Arthropoda; Malacostraca; Decapoda; Portunidae
Exons: 3
Source: RefSeq, a predicted model, not a curated record